UAAGGAAUAUUGGACAAUGGUCGCAAGACUGAUCCAGCCAUGCCGCGUGCAGGAAGACGGCCCUACGGGUUGUAAACUGCUUUUGCACCAGAGAAAACCCUUCUACGUGUAGGAGGCUGAUAGUAUGGUGAGAAUAAGCAUCGGCUAACUUCGUGCCAGCAGCCGCGGUAAGACGAAGGAUGCAAGCGUUAUCCGGAUUCAUUGGGUUUAAAGGGAGCGUAGGUGGACUUGUAAGUCAGUGGUGAAAUCCCAUCGCUUAACGAUGGAACUGCCAUUGAUACUGCUUGUCUUGAGUACAGAUGCUGUGGGCGGAAUAUGACAUGUAGUGGUGAAAUACUUAGAGAUGUCAUAGAACACCGAUUGCGAAGGCAGCUCACAAAACUGUAACUGACACUGAGGC
RNAcentral lists this ribosomal RNA (400 nucleotides) under uncultured bacterium. Its description in RNAcentral is "bacterial SSU rRNA". It matches the Rfam family "Bacterial small subunit ribosomal RNA", at positions 355 to 752 of the family's 1533-position model. The record is from RNAcentral.